RNAcentral lists this ribosomal RNA (254 nucleotides) under uncultured bacterium. Its description in RNAcentral is "partial 16S ribosomal RNA". It matches the Rfam family "Bacterial small subunit ribosomal RNA", at positions 524 to 776 of the family's 1533-position model. The record is from RNAcentral.
UACGAAGGGGGCUAGCGUUGCUCGGAAUGACUGGGCGUAAAGCGUGCGCAGGCGGUUCUAUAAGACAGAUGUGAAAUCCCCGGGCUCAACCUGGGAACUGCAUUUGUGACUGUAGAGCUGGAGUACGGCAGAGGGGGGAUGGAAUUCCGCGUGUAGCAGUGAAAUGCGUAGAUAUGCGGAGGAACACCGAUGGCGAAGGCAAUCCCCUGGGCCUGUACUGACGCUCAUGCACGAAAGCGUGGGGAGCAAACAGG